AGAUUGAACGCUGGCGGCAGGCCUAACACAUGCAAGUCGAGCGGCAGCACGGGUACUUGUACCUGGUGGCGAGCGGCGGACGGGUGAGUAAUGCCUAGGAAUCUGCCUGGUAGUGGGGAUAACGCUCGGAAACGGACGCUAAUACCGCAUACGUCCUACGGGAGAAAGCAGGGGACCUUCGGGCCUUGCGCUAUCAGAUGAGCCUAGGUCGAUUAGCUAGUGGUGAGGUAAUGGCUCACCAAGGCGACGAUCCGUAACUGGUCUGAGAGGAUGAUCAGUCACACUGGAACUGAGACACGGUCCAGACUACGACGGGAGCACGCGAGGUGGGAAAUAGUUAGGACAAAGUGGGAACGAAAGCCGUAGAA
Molecule: ribosomal RNA, 368 nt
Filed under: uncultured soil bacterium
Lineage: Bacteria
Description: bacterial SSU rRNA
Rfam family: Bacterial small subunit ribosomal RNA
Source: RNAcentral